AUAGUCCACAACAUCUGGAGUGCCAAAGGUUGCCAAACCAUGUCCUAGACCAGGGAUAGGCAACCUUCGGCAUUCCAGAUGUUGUGGACUACAU
Pelobates cultripes (western spadefoot toad) is the source of this 94-nucleotide non-coding RNA. The record is from the annotation of a GenBank genome assembly. NCBI's taxonomy places the organism in Eukaryota, Metazoa, Chordata, Amphibia, Anura, Pelobatidae.